AGAGUUUGAUCCUGGCUCAGGAUGAACGCUGGCGGCGUGCCUAAUACAUGCAAGUCGAACGAGGUGCUUUUGUAGCAAUACGAGGGUAUCCUAGUGGCGAACGGGUGAGUAACGCGUUGGUGACCUACCCCAAAGUGUGGGAUAACAGUUCGAAAGGAUUGCUAAUACCGCAUGUGGUCUUCGGAUUUAGAAACUGAUGACUAAAGGAGUAAUCCGCUUUGGGAGGGACCUGCGUCCCAUCAGCUAGUUGGUGAGGUAAUGGCUCACCAAGGCUACGACGGGUAGGGGACCUGAGAGGGUGACCCCCCACAAUGGAACUGAAACACGGUCCAUACACCUACGGGUGGCAGCAGUAGGGAAUAUUGCACAAUGGGCGAAAGCCUGAUGCAGCAACGCCGCGUGUGCGAUGAAGGCCUUCGGGUCGUAAAGCACUUUUCUGAGGGAUGAGCAAGGACAGUACCUCAGGAAUAAGUCUCGGCUAACUACGUGCCAGCAGCCGCGGUAACACGUAGGAGCCAAGCGUUAUCCGAAUUCACUGGGCGUAAAGCGCGUGUAGGCGGCCUGAUAAGUUGGAUGUGAAAGCUCCUGGCUCAACUGGGAGAGGACGUACAAUACUGUCGGGCUAGAGUAUGGCAGAGGGAGGUGGAAUUCCCGGUGUAGUGGUGAAAUGCGUAGAUAUCGGGAGGAACACCAGUGGCGAAAGCGGCCUUCUGGGCCAAAACUGACGCUCAGACGCGAAAGCUAGGGGAGCAAACGGGAUUAGAAACCCCGGUAGUCCUAGCCGUAAACGAUGUAGACUUGGUGUAGGUGGUGUAAAAGCCAUCGGUGCCGAAGCCAACGCGAUAAGUCUACCGCCUGGGGACUACGGCCGCAAGGUUAAAACUCAAAGGAAUUGACGG
This 899-nucleotide ribosomal RNA is filed under the name uncultured bacterium. RNAcentral's name for it is "bacterial SSU rRNA". It matches the Rfam family "Bacterial small subunit ribosomal RNA", at positions 8 to 916 of the family's 1533-position model. The record is from RNAcentral.